RNAcentral lists this ribosomal RNA (744 nucleotides) under uncultured bacterium. Its description in RNAcentral is "bacterial SSU rRNA". It matches the Rfam family "Bacterial small subunit ribosomal RNA", at positions 640 to 1382 of the family's 1533-position model. The record is from RNAcentral.
UNUAGAGUAUCGGAGAGGAAAGUGGAAUUCCUAGUGUAGCGGUGAAAUGCGUAGAUAUUAGGAAGAACACCAGUGGCGAAGGCGACUUUCUGGACGAAAACUGACGCUGAGGCGCGAAAGCCAGNGGAGCGAACGGGAUUAGAUACCCCGGUAGUCCUGNCCGUAAACGAUGGGUACUAGGUGUAGGAGGUAUCGAUCCCUUCUGUGCCGGAGUUAACGCAAUAAGUACCCCGCCUGGGGAGUACGACCGCAAGGUUGAAACUCAAAGGAAUUGACGGGGGCCCGCACAAGCGGUGGAGUAUGUGGUUUAAUUCGACGCAACGCGAAGAACCUUACCAGGUCUUGACAUUGAUGGACAGAACCAGAGAUGGUUCCUCUUCUUCGGAAGCCAGAAAACAGGUGGUGCACGGUUGUCGUCAGCUCGUGUCGUGAGAUGUUGGGUUAANNNNNNCAACGAGCGCAACCCCUAUCUUAUGUUGCCAGCACUUCGGGUGGGGACUCAUGAGAGACUGCCGCAGACAAUGCGGAGGAAGGCGGGGAUGACGUCAAAUCAUCAUGCCCCUUAUGACCUGGGCUACACACGUACUACAAUGGGAGUUAAUAGACGGAAGCGAGAUCGCGAGAUGGAGCAAACCCGAGAAACACUCUCUCAGUUCGGAUCGUGGGCUGCAACUCGCCUACGUGAAGUCGGAAUCGCUAGUAAUCGCAGGUCAGCAUACUGCGGUGAAUACGUUCCCGGGCCCU